UACGUAGGGGGCGAGCGUUGUCCGGAUUAUUGGGCGUAAAGAGCGUGUAGGCGGUUUUACAGGUCCGCUGUGAAAACUCGAGGCUCAACCUCGAGCUGUCGGUGGAAACCGUAAGGCUAGAGUCCGGAAGAGGAGAGUGGAAUUCCUGGUGUAGCGGUGAAAUGCGCAGAUAUCAGGAAGAACACCCGUGGCGAAGGCGGCUCUCUGGGACGGUACUGACGCUGAGACGCGAAAGCGUGGGGAGCGAACAGG
RNAcentral lists this ribosomal RNA (252 nucleotides) under uncultured bacterium. Its description in RNAcentral is "partial 16S ribosomal RNA". It matches the Rfam family "Bacterial small subunit ribosomal RNA", at positions 524 to 776 of the family's 1533-position model. The record is from RNAcentral.